CGACCGGCGCACGGGUGAGUAACACGUAUCCAACCUGCCGAUAACUCGGGGAUAGCCUUCUGAAAGGAAGAUUAAUACAAGAUGGCAUCAUGAGUCCGCAUGUUCACAUGAUUAAAGGUAUUCCGGUAGACGAUGGGGAUGCGUUCCAUUAGAUAGUAGGCGGGGUAACGGCCCACCUAGUCUUCGAUGGAUAGGGGUUCUGAGAGGAAGGUCCCCCACAUUGGAACUGAGACACGGUCCAAACUCCUACGGGAGGCAGCAUG
Molecule: ribosomal RNA, 263 nt
Filed under: uncultured bacterium
Lineage: Bacteria
Description: partial 16S ribosomal RNA
Rfam family: Bacterial small subunit ribosomal RNA
Source: RNAcentral